CCUAUUGACCCUGUGGAAGUAUGGGUUUUCUUCAUUCUUUUAAUGUUUUUACAUUUCUUCUUAUUAAAGAUUGUACUGAUCAAGAAUAUAUUUAAAUGUAUGCGAUUAUGGGAUGAUCUCUGAAGAACAAUAGAUAUUCUGUGUUAUGUCUAUUUGUAACUAAGGAAAGACAGUGGUCUCCUUGUACACUGAUGCAUACCUAGAGAAUCUUUGAACCCCAGUUGCAGGAGGGAAAAUUGUAAACAUUUACUUAGUGGAAUUUUGUAAGUAACUUCUGUUGGGAAACAGUCUUGUGCAGAAGACCUUUGAGUUGUAAGAGAAGAGAAAGGAUACUGAUCUAGAAAGAACUGAUUUGCUAUAUCUAGUAAAUGUAUAGAUUAUAUUCUAUUAAAAUGAAUGAAUGAAAAUCACAGCAACAGUAAUGAUAUUAACAUAGUUUGUUAGAACAUGGUGGUGUGUAUAUGAGUCAAUAUUUCAGUUGGAUUACAGCAUGUAGUGAAUGCAUGUAAAGUGCAUGUACUUUGAAACUGGAAGAUGGAACAAUUGUUAACCAUGAAGACAAAUACUUGUUAUUCAAGUCAUGCAUAUACAUUUCUCUGUAAGUGUGUGUAGUGAAAUAUCUGUCAUUGAUUAAAAUGAAAGAUUAUAUAAUAGUUAUUGUUAAACUAACUUAUGAAACAUAUGUUUGACCUAGGCUGGGAUUGGUUAUUUUAAAGGGAAGAUACAUCAGGGUAGGAGGAGAUCUGGUUGUAUAAAAAGGAUGUAAAAACAUAAUGGGAGGAAGCUCUCUAUGUAUCUUUAUGGUACUAGAGACCUCCCGUAGGCCUACGUACAUGAAAAGGAUUAUUGAUUAAAGAGAAUAAAAAGGUUAUUAGAAUAAAUCAUAAGUUCUAGUCUUUAUUCUUGCAUCACCGACUCACCCACCGAACCUAAGAAGGGGUUUUCCUCCACAAAAUUUGGCGAGCCAGCCAGGAGUCCAACAACCUCGAGGGAGGCACGCAAGGGAACCGACGGAGUGCGGUGUUUCUCCUUCUAGUGACCGGUCAACUUUAGUAAAAGGCUAAAGAAGCACAGGGGCCACAAGCAGAAACCCCUGAUCUUCCGGUUAAUCCAGGUGAUUGGAUUUACGUGAAAUAGUUCAAAAGGAAGUGGAAACAGCCAAGACAAGUAGGACCUUACCAGGUGAUCCUUGCCACUCCAACAGCGGUUAAGGUAAAGGAGAUUGGACCAUGGGUACACCUAAACCACUGUCGCAGAGCAAAAGAGUCAGAAGCCGAAAGAACCAUAGAAAAAGAAUAAAGGAAUGCCAGUUUCUCUGGGUACUUUCUAUUCUUCUCGAGGGAAACACUUUUCGAAUAGUUAUAAGAAACAAUAGCAGCAGCAAAACAGACCCUAGUAAGAUUGAAAAGUCUACUGAGACAUACCAUGACUUCACCAUAGAUAAGAGUACUAUUACAUCAAUAACCCUGACACCUGGAGAAGUAGUACCACUUAAAAUGAACUUAGCUGUGAAUGACAUAGAUAGAGGAAAGGCAGAAGUGACAGUAGGAUUAAGAAAGUUGUUAGGAGGUCUAGAGGAUGUGAGUAAUGAAAGAGAGACAAACC
Long non-coding RNA from Anguilla rostrata (American eel), 1605 nucleotides. RefSeq lists it as uncharacterized. Lineage: Eukaryota; Metazoa; Chordata; Actinopteri; Anguilliformes; Anguillidae. The transcript has 2 exons. The record is from RefSeq and is a predicted model, not a curated record.